UCCCUGAGUGGCAUCACCUAUAGGAAUCUCUUUCACGAUCCACAUGGAAAGAGUUCCAAUUCAGGGUUCGGGUUCUGGAGAAGGGCCACACACAAAUGAAGAGACUUGAUACUUGAAGAAAUUCAAGUUGGCGAUACAGGGGGCCAGGUGGUAGUCCAACUCUAGUGGGAGAACUACUCCUGCUCUGGCCCUGCCAUCCCUUUUAUUGAGGCUUUGGGAAAACAUCUUAGGCAACAUAAAUAGAAAUUUAC
Pipistrellus kuhlii (Kuhl's pipistrelle) is the source of this 251-nucleotide long non-coding RNA. RefSeq lists it as uncharacterized. Lineage: Eukaryota; Metazoa; Chordata; Mammalia; Chiroptera; Vespertilionidae. The record is from RefSeq and is a predicted model, not a curated record. The transcript is spliced from 3 exons.